Molecule: ribosomal RNA, 919 nt
Filed under: Pediococcus acidilactici
Lineage: Bacteria; Bacillati; Bacillota; Bacilli; Lactobacillales; Lactobacillaceae
Description: bacterial SSU rRNA
Rfam family: Bacterial small subunit ribosomal RNA
Source: RNAcentral
UGUCUAUACAUGCAGUCGAACGAACUUCCGUUAAUUGAUCAGGACGUGCUUGCACUGAAUGAGAUUUUAACACGAAGUGAGUGGCGGACGGGUGAGUAACACGUGGGUAACCUGCCCAGAAGCAGGGGAUAACACCUGGAAACAGAUGCUAAUACCGUAUAACAGAGAAAACCGCCUGGUUUUCUUUUAAAAGAUGGCUCUGCUAUCACUUCUGGAUGGACCCGCGGCGCAUUAGCUAGUUGGUGAGGUAACGGCUCACCAAGGCGAUGAUGCGUAGCCGACCUGAGAGGGUAAUCGGCCACAUUGGGACUGAGACACGGCCCAGACUCCUACGGGAGGCAGCAGUAGGGAAUCUUCCACAAUGGACGCAAGUCUGAUGGAGCAACGCCGCGUGAGUGAAGAAGGGUUUCGGCUCGUAAAGCUCUGUUGUUAAAGAAGAACGUGGGUGAGAGUAACUGUUCACCCAGUGACGGUAUUUAACCAGAAAGCCACGGCUAACUACGUGCCAGCAGCCGCGGUAAUACGUAGGUGGCAAGCGUUAUCCGGAUUUAUUGGGCGUAAAGCGAGCGCAGGCGGUCUUUUAAGUCUAAUGUGAAAGCCUUCGGCUCAACCGAAGAAGUGCAUUGGAAACUGGGAGACUUGAGUGCAGAAGAGGACAGUGGAACUCCAUGUGUAGCGGUGAAAUGCGUAGAUAUAUGGAAGAACACCAGUGGCGAAGGCGGCUGUCUGGUCUGUAACUGACGCUGAGGCUCGAAAGCAUGGGUAGCGAACAGGAUUAGAUACCCUGGUAGUCCAUGCCGUAAACGAUGAUUACUAAGUGUUGGAGGGUUUCCGCCCUUCAGUGCUGCAGCUAACGCAUUAAGUAAUCCGCCUGGGGAGUACGACCGCAAGGUUGAAACUCAAAAGAAUUGACGGGGCC